UAGAUUGAUCUUGAGAUGAGACUACAUGAGUUCUCUAUCUUUCAUGAUUAUUAUUUUCUUCUAUUUUUUUCUUUCUUUCUUCUCUUUCACUAUUUGUUGUUGCUCAAAGAGAUGCUUUGUUUCUUCGUAACUGUUUCAUCAAUACCUUGCAUGAGGUGAGAUUUAUGAAAGGGGAUACCACCUAAUGCUUGGCUCAUUCUGUUUGCUUUAUCA
This 213-nucleotide long non-coding RNA is filed under the name Vitis vinifera (wine grape). Its description in RNAcentral is "long non-coding RNA (VVIN_LNC006852)". Lineage: Eukaryota; Viridiplantae; Streptophyta; Magnoliopsida; Vitales; Vitaceae. The record is from RNAcentral.